Molecule: ribosomal RNA, 382 nt
Filed under: uncultured eukaryote
Lineage: Eukaryota
Description: partial 18S ribosomal RNA
Rfam family: Eukaryotic small subunit ribosomal RNA
Source: RNAcentral
CAAUAGCGUAUAUUAAAGUUGUUGCAGUUAAAAAGCUCGUAGUUGGAUUUCUGGUGGGAGCGAUCGGUCUGGCGCUUAGCGCGAGUACUUGCAUCGUCUCCGGCCAUCCUUGGGGAGAGUCUGUCUGGCAUUAAGUUGUCGGGCAGAGGAUCCUCAUCGUUUACUGUGAAAAAAUUAGAGUGUUCAAAGCAGGCUUAUGCCGUUGAAUAUAUUAGCAUGGAAUAAUAAGAUAGGACUUUGGUACUAUUUUGUUGGUUUGCGCACCAAAGUAAUGAUUAAUAGGGACAGUUGGGGGUAUUCGUAUUCCGUUGUCAGAGGUGAAAUUCUUGGAUUUACGGAAGACGAACUACUGCGAAAGCAUUUACCAAGGAUGUUUNCAUUA